Molecule: non-coding RNA, 252 nt
Organism: Vicia faba (fava bean)
Lineage: Eukaryota; Viridiplantae; Streptophyta; Magnoliopsida; Fabales; Fabaceae
Source: the annotation of a GenBank genome assembly
AUGACGAAAUACAAUAUGGCUCCAAGGUACAUAAUUGCUGCUUUGAAAGACAAAGAUUCAGAAAACCUCACGAAUGUUAUCCAGCCCAACCCACUUGGUUUUGAGGACACCCAUAAUCGCUGUCCAUCUGCUUUGUCCUCCGAAACUAGUUGGAGUGGAUUGGAUAGGAGGCGCGCCGACCUGAACCUGCCGGAAAACCCAGCCGGAGCUCUUGGUAUUACGCCAGAAACAGUUACAAACUCUUGCAGUUAG